Oncorhynchus gorbuscha (pink salmon) is the source of this 1307-nucleotide long non-coding RNA. RefSeq lists it as uncharacterized. The record is from RefSeq and is a predicted model, not a curated record. Lineage: Eukaryota; Metazoa; Chordata; Actinopteri; Salmoniformes; Salmonidae. The transcript is spliced from 3 exons.
GGUUUUAGGUACAGAAUACGAAAUGCUCUGAGACCAGGUUGCGAGAGCUCCAAAAGGUGAACAAAACCAGCAGGCAGCUAGGGAGUGCCAAACACACUGGCAUGGAGUUGCUGAGGCAGGUUGAAAGCCUUCAGGAACAGAAGAUGGCAUUGCAGUCCAGCGUCACUGAAGUUGUUGAUGCACAGAGUGCAGUUUAACUCCGAACCCAUGCACAUAAAAAGGGUUCUGGAUUGGACUGAAGGAGGAAGAGGAUACAGGGGGGACCUGGACACGGCUUGAUGGGACUGAUCUGACUCAGGGGUAAGAGCUGCACAAGUCAUUGGACUGGAGGAAGAGGAUACAGGGGGGACCUGGACACUGCUUGAUGGGACUGAUCUGACUCAGGGGUAAGAGCUGCACAAGUCAUUGGACUGGAGGAAGAGGAUACAGGGGGGACCUGGACACGGCUUGAUGGGACUGAUCUGACUCAGGGAAAGGUACUGGGAAGACGGAGAGCCCAAUGACCACUAUGGAAUGGAGGACUUUGCGGCCAUCAAAAUAAAUCCCAUGAAGUUCUGGAAUGAUGCUACUUGUACAAGUGAAAUGCAAUCAAGGAAGGCUUAUAAAUGACUGUAAAAUGUCCAUUAUUUAAUUAAGUAAAUACAUACAUUGAAAAUAGACAUUGGAAUCAAAUGUAAAUUGAAGUUGUACAUAGCAUAAGAUUGUAUCUGAAAUAAAUUGUCAUACUGUAAAGUUAAACGCAUAGAAAUGAAUGAGUUCUGUAUCUUUGAUUAUAACGAGUAAUCAAUCAAAAACAAACAAGACUACAAAUUGUUGUCACAUCUGCUCCUGCCACGCCCUCUAGUGCUCAUCCGGUGUCUCCUUGACUGCUCUCUCCCUGUGUGUGUGUGUGUGUGUGUGUGUGUGUGUGUGUGUGUGUGUGUGUGUGUGUGUGUGUGUGUGUGUGUGUGUGUGUGUGUGGGCAGAGACAGGUGUGCUGGAGUCAGAGCAGAUCCCCACCAGCUGCAACCUGUUUCAUAAUCAAGACCUCUACAAAUAUUCAGUCCUGCCGCUUCCUCACUGCCAGAUCAUAAUCUCUGCUCAUUAUGCCUGCUCUGACUCUAGUCAGUCUCCAGUCCAACAUCUCGUCAUCCUGCUACUCUGUCCUGGAUUCCCCACUUUACUACUCCCUUGGAUUCAUGUUACCCUGUCUCAUGCUCACCCUGUCUCAACUCCCCUCGCUCCAGCCUCAGCCUCUGCAUUUUUUUUCCCAAUAACCUGCCAGAGCUUCCCCUGACCUGCACUCCAUCUCCCCAUGUUUCAAUAAA